This 6484-nucleotide long non-coding RNA is filed under the name Heterocephalus glaber (naked mole-rat). RNAcentral's name for it is "lncRNA (ENSHGLG00100049648.1)". Lineage: Eukaryota; Metazoa; Chordata; Mammalia; Rodentia; Bathyergidae. The record is from RNAcentral.
AAAUAAUUGAGAAAAAUACAUACUGACACAAUUUGUUUUAUAAUAUAUACUGUUUAUAUUUACUGCUUUAAUGAAGUAUGUGUAAAAUAAUGAAACUGAAGACUAUAGGAAUGCAUAUAGCAGGUCACUGCAAAAGAUGAAUCAAAGAAAAAAAUAAGUUCAAGUAAACAAAAGCUUAAAAUAAUAUUUGGAAGUAGGUAAUGGAGGCUGAGGAGGAAGUGGAAGCGCAGCAUAUGACUCUUUCUCCCUGUGUGUAUGAUCUGUAUUUGCAUGUGCGUAACACACACAUAAAUAACAGAGUAAAAGAAAGUUAAAUAAAUAUAGUAAUGGAAUGAUUAAAUUUUAGAGCUUGAGAGGAUAUUAGAAAUUAUGUAGUCCUUCUCGCUUCAUUCUGAGGACAGUAUAACCUGGACAAUUUAAAUGACAUGUGUAAAACAAGAGAGUUUGGAAUUGUGAAAAGCAGCCAAUUUGGGCAAAUUUUACACUAGUUUCCAGGAAGAAAUGCAUAGAACUAAGGAGAUCAGGUGAGAGUUUUUUUGAGCUUCAUGGGGAAAAAUGCUGCUGUUAAUGAAAUUGCAGCAGUCAUUGGUCUGGAUUUGAAUGGUUCCAAUUUAAAGCUGAUCCUUAGAGCAAUGCCAUGCCAGGACAAGGAGGGAAAGAGAAGUGACAGGUGGUGUUGGAGUUGAGGACAUGAUGACAAAGGAAGUGGAAGGCUUUGAGGUGAACCUGAGAGUGACGUAAAGGCCAUGUUUGCUGUGAUUUCUUCAUGGACAUUUGAGCCUCCAAUCUGGAAAUGUUUCAGUUAGAGUGUCUUCACACAGGGAUGUCUUGGCAACUUAAUGAGAAGAAGCUAAUUUUGAUCAUCAGACAGUAUUUUCUCACUUAAACAGGCAUUUAACCAAAAGGACAAUCUCUCUGGCAAGUUUGAAGAAGCCUCUACUGGAAAAGCAAAGCAAAUAAGUACUUGCAGAAAUGCAUAGUGCUAACAAUUCAUCGUUAGUUUCUCAUUAUUUCCAUACUCUCCAAUUAAAAUGUAUCCUAGGAAUUCAGGAAUAUCACAGUACCAAGCAUUAAUGUAAAAAAAGAUUUAAUUUUUAGUAAGUUAGAAUGACUACUUUUUCUCAUUUUCCUGUUAGCAAUUAUGACCUAAAAUUUUGCAAAGAAUGAAAAUACAAAAAUGGUUAAAAAUCAAUGAAAUGAAAAUUAAUGAAGUACACUUUGUGGCAUGUUUCAAAGGUCCAUUCUUCACAUUUGUAAAGAAGAAUCCUCUAUCAUGUAGUUAAUAACAGGCAGAUUUUUUUUGUCCAGUAAGUAGGAAAAUGCUUUAAGACAUUUAUGGCAAUACCUCAAAGCUUCUGCCAAGCUAGCAGCAAUCUAAAGGAAAGCCAAUAAAUUCAUCAAUUCCAAGUGGCACUUAACCACCUAGUGUUCAAACACAUAAUUGGACAUGGGGAAUGUAGUUUCCUAACACAGGGCUUAUUGGAAGAAUAAUCUUUCAAUAAUAGUUGACAACAAAAUUUUGGUGCUAUAGACCUGGAAAAUUAGCAAGUACAAAAACAGUUCGGUUAUCGAACAGUUACACAUGAGAGAAAUUUAAAAAACUGAGAGGAAAGAAUUAGCCAAAGAAAAUAGCUGAGCAUCAGAAGGAAAUGAGAAAAGAGCAGACUUCUUUUUAGGGAAGACAUCUCAUCCUUCACACUCAGGGCAACCUAAGAUAGCAAGGUGUGAACAGCUCAGAGCAGCUGCUCCUUUCACAGAAUGGGCUUGGAAGACAUCAUCUGCCAGUUUGAUUUGCUUGGCUCCUUCAACCUAAAAGGAUCAAAAUGAAAAAUUCUGGGUGAACAAAGUUAUAUAUGUAUAUGAAGGCUAAAAUAUUUGUGCUUUCAGAAUAUGGGUCAUCAUUUCUGAUUAAUUAUUUUCUUUGACAACCUAUUUUGCAACAAAUAAACAAGAACAUGCUUGGACCAACUUUAGCGUGGUAUGCCAUGCACUGAAUGACCCCUCCAUAAUUAACAUGAUGAAACCUGAACUCUAUCUGCCUGUAUUUGGAGGUAUGGGUCUUAGGAGGUAAAGAUGAAAGAGGUCUGAAGGCUGGUGCCCUAAGUUGGUAGAACUAUUGGCCCUAUAAAAACAGAGAACUAUUUCUUUCUUUGUUAUGUGAGGACUCAGUGAGAAGACAGCUAUUUGCAAGUUCAAUGAAGAGUCUUCACAAACAAGUAGGUUAACCAGAACCUUGCCCCUUGAUUUUUACUUUUCUAAAUUGUGGUAAAAUACAUUUCUUGUUUUGAAGUCAUCCAAUCCAUGGUAUUUUAUUCUAGCAAUUUGAGCAGACUCUGACACAUGUACUUGCUAUAAAUUAACUUUCUCUAUGUUGAUUCAUUUAUUAAAUUAUUUACAUCUAUAAUUUCAUGCAAUUUCCUAGACAAUGGGGCACUGAGAUGAAAAUCACCUGAUUUCAGCAUUUAGGGAGUUUACAUUCUGAUAGCAGAGAGGACAUAUGCAUAAGUAAUUGAAAAUACAGUCAUAAGUUACAACUAAACUAUGAGAAUGACAUAAGCUUACUAUUGGUGUCAUUCAUUUAACCAUUCCACAUUUACUGUGCACUUUUUAUGUAGCAAACACCUAGAAGCAUGCUGAUGAUACAGUGGAGAAAAACCUAUGCUUCUAUGGACUAUGUGUAGUGCUGAAAAAACUCUAAUGAUAAACACAGAAAUACAAGUUGUGUGUAACUAUACUGUGCUUCAGAAUAAAAUAUAGUAAGGAGGCAGGAUAGGGAGAGCAAGCAAGGGUGGGAAUGGGUUUGGGUGAGAUUGAUUGUUUUAAUAUGGUGAUGUGGUAGGACUAAUCUUGGUAAGGUGAAAUUUGAACAAAGGUCUUAAAAAUUGACAAAGAGAACAUGAGGAUGUUGAAGAUUAGACUAUGGUACAUUGGGAGAUUAGCUCUUUGAAUUUUUGGACAUCUCAUCUCUUCUUUUUUUGAAAAUCUCAAAUUCCUGUUUUACUUGGUUGGGCCAGUGACUGCUUUGACUGGUAGCAGGGCUGCAGUGACACCAAGCUAUCUGAGCCAAUUUCAUCAAGGUCCAUGAAGCUUUCAGAGAUUCUCUUGGGGUACCCAUGUGAGGUAUCAGGAGCUGUAUGAGAUACCUACUCACCCUAAGAUCAUCACUCUGGAGAAACUACAUGUUAGCAUGUUGUUUGACAGCCUCACUUGAGCUCUUAAGCAGAAAUACCAAAAAUCAAAUGCUUCUUCAAGCCCUAGUUCGCUCACAAAAUAAUUUGGUUGUUAUUUUAUACAAUAAGGUUUUGGGUAACUGGUUACACAACAAGGAUAACUGGAAUAGAUGGAGAAGAUAAAUGAGAAAAGGGGAAAGCUAUGUGUGUGUGUGUGUGUGUGUGUGUGUGCCCACGUGUGUGUUUGUGAGGGUGCGUGUAUCAUAUAGGGCCUUCAAAGUUAUUCUACUUUUUUCAAGAGUCUAUCAAAGGAUUUUGAGAAGUUUUCCAUGAUCUGACUCACGUCUCUGAAAGACCACUCUGAGUACUGGGUGAAGAAUUGAUUGCAGAUGAACAAAAGAGCAGGUUAAAAUGAAGACUUUUUAAACAAACAAAAGUGGAGACUUUGUAAAUCACUGAAGAUAAGAAGCUAGAAGGAGAGACAUCGCAGAUGGCCAUUUAGAGAUUCAUGAGAAUUGAAGGGUAGUUUAAGUAGUAUAUAUAUAUAAGUAAAUCUUAGAAGAAUAUUGAUUGUGUAAAACAGUAAUAAUAAAUUCCUUGAAACUUAAAGUAUAAUGACAUACAAAUUAAUAACAACAAGAACACAUUGCUCAGGAUGAUGAUUAACAGAAUUAGAGUUGCUUGAUUAGGGUAAGACGUGAUAAUACUAGUAUUUUAUAUUAAAGUUAAAUAAAUCAGAUAUAAGUAAUAAUCAAUAAGGUAUACUAAGUGAAAUGCAUUCCUAAUGAACUAUUUGAAGGAAAAAGAAAUAUUUUAAUGUAAGAAGCAAAUAUAAAUGGAGAAAGAAAAUAGAAUUCAUGGACCAAGAGGAAGUGAAUAAAAAAAAUUGAAGGUCUGUAUCUAUGUGUCUACAUUAAUAACUCUAUUAAAUAUAAAUGGCUAAAUACUCUAUUUAAAUGAGAAACAUUGCUAGAUUUGGUGAAAAAGAAUAAGCAUGUGUUUAUGAGACAAACCUUAGUCACACAAACAAAAAGAUGGUGAAAAUAAAAUAGUAAAUAAUAUGUCAUUAAUAGAGAUUGAUAGAUUGAAAUUUCAUGAUAUGAGGAACUUUGCAUUAUCAAAGAAUCUUACUAAAUGUAAGUCACAAAAUGCAUAAUGUUUUAUAUUCAUAUAAUUGACAAAGAGUUUGUAUUUCCUAUAUACAAAAGAGAAAUUCCACUCAAUAGAAAAAAAAGAAAAAAGUGGGACAGGCAUUUCAUACAUACACAAUUAUCUAAAUUGCUAAGAACAUAGAUAGAUAUUUGUGAUUGCUAGUCAUCAGGAAAUUAAAACUAUAAUUUUUACAAAUGGCAUGCACAUUAGAUUGAUAAAACUGAAAGACAAGUAGUACACUGCUCUGUAAAGUGUCAGUUUCUGCAAACAUUGUGAACAACUGCUCAUCAUUAUUUACUAAGUUUGAAUAGAUGGAUAGAUUAGUAGAUAGUUAGAUCUUUUACUCUAUGGCAAUUCCACUAUUUGAGUAUAUCACACACACACACACAGAGACACACACAGACACACACACAUUUCAGAUGUUUGUGUACCAAAAGACAUGAGUAAGAAUGUUCAUAAUAGUACUAACCAAAAGAAAGGGGGAGGAUUAAGUUCUUUAUCAAAUAUACAAUAAAACUAAGUUUUAAAAAUAUUUAUGUAUUAAAAAGUAUAGAAAAAACAUGAAAACAAUGAACUAUUGGCUAAUGCAACAACACAAAUGAAAUCAUUUAUUCCUAAUGUCUUGAGGGGAAAAAUGAGAUGAAAAAAGAGUUCAUAAUGAUAAGUCUAUUAUAUAAAGAUUAAAAGAGAGAAAAUACAUCCAUAGUAUUAGCAGUGACAGAAAUGUUUACCUUUGGGAAAGAAGUAUUUAGUGAUGGGAAAACUGAUAGGGGGAUUCUGGGCUGUGAGGUGCAACACUGUAACUCCUGUCCUAGAUGACGGCUACAUGGAUUUUUUCCCUUGAUGGUGAUUCAUAGAGCCAUGUUUGUAUGUUUUGCCUUCCUAUAUUUUAUGGUAAAUAAAUAUUUACUUUAAAAUAAUGGAGGAGAAGGAAAGAUGGGUUUUUAGGAUAACUAGUACCUAGGAAGAAUAUGCUUGAUGUUUUGUCAGGCUCUUUUCAUCAUUUUCCUUUUUUUCCUCUUUCCCAGAAAACAAAGCCUAUAAUGUCAUACAAGAGUUGGCGAUUACUGGAUGGUAAAUGGCUUUGACUCCUACAUAAUGUGCAUGUAUCCAGAGUCUUGAGACUUUGAGAACACUCUAUGGAUACGAAUCUUGUAAAUUCAAUUUUUAAUCCCCCUUUGAAACUAUGACCUCCUCCUUAACAGAUUUUUUUUGUUUUUUCUAUUAUUUUGAGAAUACUUUAUUAGUUUCUGUAAUCAAACCCAUGUAGACAAGACCUUGCAUAUUUAAUACAGUGUGUUUCCCCUGUACAAAUGGAAAAUAAAAUUAAGCUUAAUGUUUCUAGACCUAUAUGGCUGUUAGUUUCCGUACAGUUUCAACUCAGCAUGGUAAACUAGGAUAAUUAUUUUGAAAGUUGACAACACAGUUAAAGUUUCCAAAAGUUUAAAUUAUAUUUAUAUUUAUUUGUAUUUGUAUUUAUAUAGCAUAUGUUAUGCAUCAAGAGCAGCAAUAGCUUUUCUUAUAGAACUCACAGCAAUUCUCCUGCCUCUUAACAGAUAUUUUAUUCAAUAUUUGCAUUUUCUAUUUAUAUUCAAGAAAUACUGAGUUCUUGCAUUAUUUUCAUUCAUUCAACCUGUAUUUACUGAGAAACUGCUGUAUGUAAUUUGUUCUUCUGUUCUUCAUGUUGAUAUCAACAGGCUGUUGCUAUAACAAAUUGAUUAUAUGUACUUUCACUUUAAUCUAUUGUAACUUUUUUUCAUGCUAUAUCACUGAAGUCCGCAAGGUCAAGAAAAAGUAUGAAAGUCCAGGGAUUCUCAGCAAAUAUAUUCCCUUCAAGGACACCAGGAGAUGAACAGGCUAACUGAGAGUUUCUUAAGGCAUUAUCAUUCUUUGCAGAAAUUUUCUAUGGAUAUCUCAGUGGUGAAUGAGAGUUGCUUCCAUGCCAAAGUAAUUACUAAUCAUAGUCACAGUCCUGAACUUCUUAUUCCAGGAAAACAACCUAGUGUAUCUGUAGCAGCAUCUCUCACAUAAUGUGGCCCUGCAUGUGGAGGGAGAAGGCACCAAGGCCACGGGUGGUGGUGGCUGAAGUUCACGGUACUCACAUAUCACCGCUGAGUUAACAUUGUGGUGAAAACUUGAGGGCUAAGUUGCGAUCUGUUCGU